ACCUGGUUGGCUCAGUCAGUUGAGCGUCUGACUUUGGCUCAGGUCAUGAUCUCUCAGUUCGUGGGUUCGAGCCCUGUGUCAGGCU
This 85-nucleotide transfer RNA is filed under the name Felis catus (domestic cat). It matches the Rfam family "tRNA". Rfam says of the family: Transfer RNA (tRNA) molecules are approximately 80 nucleotides in length. The record is from Rfam by way of RNAcentral. Lineage: Eukaryota; Metazoa; Chordata; Mammalia; Carnivora; Felidae.